Molecule: ribosomal RNA, 497 nt
Filed under: uncultured bacterium
Lineage: Bacteria
Description: partial 16S ribosomal RNA
Rfam family: Bacterial small subunit ribosomal RNA
Source: RNAcentral
GAUGAACGCUGGCGGCGUGCACAAUACAUGCAAGUCGAGCGAACGGACGAGAAGCUUGCUUCUCUGAUGUUAGCGGCGGACGGGUGAGUAACACGUGGAUAACCUACCUAUAAGACUGGGAUAACUUCGGGAAACCGGAGCUAAUACCGGAUAAUAUUUUGAACCGCAUGGUUCAAAAGUGAAAGACGGUCUUGCUGUCACUUAUAGAUGGAUCCGCGCUGCAUUAGCUAGUUGGUAAGGUAACGGCUUACCAAGGCAACGAUGCAUAGCCGACCUGAGAGGGUGAUCGGCCACACUGGAACUGAGACACGGUCCAGACUCCUACGGGAGGCAGCAGUAGGGAAUCUUCCGCAAUGGGCGAAAGCCUGACGGAGCAACGCCGCGUGAGUGAUGAAGGUCUUCGGAUCGUAAAACUCUGUUAUUAGGGAAGAACAUAUGUGUAAGUAACUGUGCACAUCUUGACGGUACCUAAUCAGAAAGCCACGGCUAACUACGUG